AGAUGCAUAAGAAGCUGGGAAGUAGCAUGGCCAGGACAGCUAACCUGAACUACUGAAAUGGAUGUUUUGUACCUCAGGACAUCAUGCUUUAUAUAUGGAGAUACCAGCUCUAUGGUUACCAGAUUCUACUAAGCUAUGGAAAAUAUACUGAUUCCAACCAGACAGAAAGAAGUUUGGAUAAAGUUAUUAGGUGCUCCAUCAAAAAACAGCACUUAAAAUUAUUUCUUCGUCACCAGCUCAGCUAGAAAUUUGAGAAUAGAAUCUGUUUGAAGAAUAAUCUCUGCCUUGGCAACAUAGCCUCAGGACAAGUCAGCCUGCCAUUACAGCAAAAACCUGUGACUUUCUGGGGCCAGUGCAGUGUUGUACUGAGUUUAUAUGCUAAAGUUUGGACACUAGGGAGCUGGCAUCUGUGAGAAGACAGCAGGAACUGACCCCAUGUUGGGCAGAUCCAGUGGCAGCCAGUAAUGUUAGCAGCACCACUGUGAGAAGGUAUUUUGAAAAGGGUGAAAAGCACUGUGCAUGAGCAGUUGGGAGAGAGGAGUGACAAAAUAUGUGAGAGAAACAAGCCUGCACAGAGCAAAGUCUUUGAUGGAGGAGUUAAGUGUUCCAGGUGCUGGAGCAGAAAUUCCCUUGCAACCUGCAGUGAAGACCAUGGUUACCCAGGUUGCUCCCCUGCAACCUAUACAAGACCAACACCAGAGCAGAUGGCUGUAUCCACAGGAGUCUGUGAACCUGUGGGAAGCCUUUGCUGGAACAGGCUUCUGGCAGAACCUCUGGAUGCAUAGAGAGAAGACCGGACAAAGGAGCAGGUUCACUGGCAGGAUGUGUGACCCUGUAGGGGGACCCAUGCUGGAGCAGUUCUUAACUGAAUCCCAAGGGAAAGAUGUAUGCUGGAGAAGUUGUGAAGGACUCUCUGCCAUGGGAGGGACCCCAAAUAAGAGCAGGAGAAGUGUGAGGAGGAGAAAAGGAUGCGGUAUUAUGAACUGAUCACAACCCACAUUGCCCAUCUCCCUGUGCCACUUGGGGUGGGUGUUAUGCUCAAGUAGAACAGUUGAGUCAAACUGAGCCUGGAUACAAAGGGAGAAGGGGGGGAAGGAGGAGGGAGAAAUGGGUUCCUUUUUUUUUUCAUUUCUCACUACCCUCCUCUGUAAUUAACUGACAAUAUAUGCAACUGAUAUCCCCCAGUCAAGUCUGUUUUGCCCAUCAUGGUAACUGCUGGGCAAUCUCCCUGUCCUCCUCUCAACUUAUGAUCUGUUGUGGUAUUCUCUUCUCCUGUUCUGCAGCGCAUGGGGAGCAAAAGAGCAGUUGGGUGAGCACCUAAUGGUCAGCCAAGUUCAACCUACCACAAUUGAUGUUUAUGUUUUGUUGAAUAAUGAAAAUGUACUUUCUGAAACACUAAUAUCUGAUUCCUACACCUCCAAAAAAAUGCAAUGCAGAAAACGGCUACAUAGACCUCAUUAGAAGAGAAUGGGGGGGAGGAAGAAAAAGGAGGAAAAAAAACAAGUUAAUAAAGUAGGGUUUUAUCUUUUUUUUUCAUCCUACAUAGGCAAAGCUGGCUCCAAAUGCAAGACAGUGAAAAUACAUUGCUGGUGACAGUGUUUAAGGCAGUAAUCCAAAGUUUGGAGAUAAAACUUUAUUAUACAGCCAUUUGAAACAGUGAAUUAAUCUGCCUCCUGCACAGAGCAGAACAAAAUAGCUGCCCAAUCGUUCCAGAUCUGGAGAUCUUCCAGCAGGAGCUUCACCACUCAGCAGAGAGGCCAUUGCCAGAGGGCUAUCCAGCUUGCAGGCUGCUGUUAAAGAACCUUUGUCAGGGAUGAGCAGGUAAACCUCCUACUCUACUAAGACACUGAGUAGUACAGCAAAGGCCUCCCCUACGGCAUCACUGGGUAACAAAACCCAAUGAUGUGGUGUCUGUGACCAGCUGAGACAACAGCAAUCCCUUUUAAAAACCGAGACUUAAGGAAAAAAAACAGAACAAACUGCACAACAAAAGUAAACUUUUUCACCCUUCAGCCACUCUAAUGAAUUAUGCAAUAUCUACUUUUUCCAAUUGCAAAGGCAUCUUAAAGAAAAGCUUUAAAAGUCAAGAGUUUAAUUUACAAAUUACAUCAUCAAGGACUGUGCAGAUAUUUUAGUCUAAAUCUUGAUGAAAAUUAAUUAAUUUUAGAUAUAAAAUUCCAUAAACUUAAUUCUCCCCAAAUGCUUACACAUAGCCUAUGAAAAGCUAUGAUUAUGGACAACUCUUGCCUCAAAUCACAGUUCUGUUGGCAAAACUGCCAGCCACUUUUUUAUCACCAGGGCUUGAGUCUCUUGUUUAAAGCUCUUUGAAUUACUGGUCUGAUUUCUUCUAUGGAACACAUCUACUGCCAAACUGUUUUAAUUAUCCACAUAUUUCACUGGGAAAUAGAAAGAAAUGCCUACAUAUUUCCAGAUGGGAUUGAAAUUCUCUGCAAACUUGACCUUGUUGUAAUAUGACCUUACUUGCUUUCAAUACCUUUGCUGCCUAUCUUGGUAUAAACAUCCCACUACAUAAAGCCAGAUUUAGCUCCCAAAAGAUAAGCAAAAUUAUUCCUGUAAAUAGGAUCUGUAUAUUUUAUAUGUUAAAAUCACUUAGGAUUUAAAUUACAUCUCUUGUUCAGUGCUUUUCCCAAGGAAUACCUAGAACUAAAUUCCUGCCAAGGAAACCAGAACUAAUUUUAAAGUGCAGGCCACUUUGUCCCUCUUAGCCUGAUUAAUUUUUGGGGUCAUUUUCAUGUUAUCAUUGCAUCAUAAUUAAUAUAUACCACAGCAUAUGUGAGAAAAUCCCCUUACAAUGAAAUGUUGGCUGCAUAAAUUGUAAAGCAAUAUUGUAUUUCUCUGGUUUUCAAACACUUUUAACAGUUAAUGUGUUAUAUACGUAGCAUUUUUAGUAUCCUUUCUCAUUUUAUAUGAUUUUUAAAGGAUGAUGUUGGUAUUUAAAUAUAUUGGUGGAACCAAGUGCUUAAUGCAUAUGUACACCAUAGUUGCUGGGGAAAUAUAUUGUACUAGAGUCCAUGAUAUGACUGUCACAAAUGUAAUACUUGCCCAAUUGCACUCUUGGUAGCUAAAAUUUCUGUUUGUCCCUGCUCUGGAAUACGCCAAAUUCCUUUCCCCUCCCCCUGUUUUUUUUACAGGAAGAUGUAACAUGAAAGCUCUAGAAAUCAAACCUGAUCAGAGAGAAAAGCAAGCAGUACUUUAUGUACCAUUUAGUAUUACAGAUUAAAUUGUAUGGGCUGA
Molecule: long non-coding RNA, 3255 nt
Organism: Pogoniulus pusillus (Red-fronted tinkerbird)
Lineage: Eukaryota; Metazoa; Chordata; Aves; Piciformes; Lybiidae
Exons: 3
Source: RefSeq, a predicted model, not a curated record